AGACUCAGAGCUCCGCAGCGUACAGAGUGAGCAACAAAAUCUAGUUCCAGGUCCUCGCCCCGAAAGCGCGCGGCAGGUGCAGCAGUGCGCCCUAGAAAAAGAUCCACGCCCUGAUCCGCGCCCCCCAAUAAGCGGCCUUAAACUUGGGCUCCGUCCCCACCGACGCACGAGAACCUAGCCGCUAAGUGUAAAGCAGCGACAGCCUGGAGGUCUCGGCGAUGGGACUGAGGACCUCGGUGACAGGGGCCGUGAUCCGCUUGUGUCAGCAGGGCCGCCCGGGCCAGGGAAGGGGCUCCGUUUGAUCGUACAGUGGCUCAUUGAACGCGUCCGUAGGUCGCUGGCUGCAGUAAUGACCCUCUCUAAGAGAUCUGCACAGCCUUCUCGGGCCCCCAGAACCACCUAGCCGCCGAGCUCCACCGAUGAUGUCAUGCACGCGCCCCCUGACCUGGAAGGCGCUGUAAGGGAGGCAAAAGCUGGGAAAAAAACAGACCUGAGACUCCCUUCCCCUUCCACCACAGCUCCCGAUCCCUUUCCUUAAUCCAAUAAUUAAUUAUGUACUUAUU
Long non-coding RNA from Mus musculus (house mouse), 563 nucleotides. RefSeq annotates it as predicted gene, 31134. Lineage: Eukaryota; Metazoa; Chordata; Mammalia; Rodentia; Muridae. The transcript has 2 exons. The record is from RefSeq and is marked validated.